This 492-nucleotide ribosomal RNA is filed under the name uncultured bacterium. RNAcentral describes it as "partial 16S ribosomal RNA". It matches the Rfam family "Bacterial small subunit ribosomal RNA", at positions 29 to 507 of the family's 1533-position model. The record is from RNAcentral.
AGUGAACGCUGGCGGUAGGCCUAACACAUGCAAGUCGAACGGCAGCACAGUAAGAGCUUGCUCUUACGGGUGGCGAGUGGCGGACGGGUGAGGAAUACAUCGGAAUCUACUUUUUCGUGGGGGAUAACGUAGGGAAACUUACGCUAAUACCGCAUACGACCUACGGGUGAAAGCAGGGGAUCUUCGUACCUUGCGCGAUUGAAUGAGCCGAUGUCGGAUUAGCUAGUUGGCGGGGUAAAGGCCCACCAAGGCGACGAUCCGUAGCUGGUCUGAGAGGAUGAUCAGCCACACUGGAACUGAGACACGGUCCAGACUCCUACGGGAGGCAGCAGUGGGGAAUAUUGGACAAUGGGCGCAAGCCUGAUCCAGCCAUACCGCGUGGGUGAAGAAGGCAUUCGGGUUGUAAAGCCCUUUUGUUGGGAAAGAAAAGCAGCAGGUUAAUACCCCGCUGUUCUGACGGUACCCAAAGAAUAAGCACCGGCUAACUUCGUG